This 1067-nucleotide long non-coding RNA is filed under the name Marmota monax (woodchuck). The record is from RNAcentral. Lineage: Eukaryota; Metazoa; Chordata; Mammalia; Rodentia; Sciuridae.
GGCAGGAUUUCCCAUCUGCCCAGUACUCCCUCCUGCCCCCUUGAUGCCAUUCUAGGCCCAUUGAUUGUGUCUUCAUCACAGCAUCCCGCCCCUGGCAGUGACUGGCAGCGGGGGUCUUCAGAGUAGUGACAGGACAUUCUCCCCUGCCAGGCUGGACAGGGUCCACCAGUCAGGCGGGUGGCACAUUCCAGAGCCACCCUAGUGGAGGAACUGGAAUGUCGUCUAACCACCCUGGAAAUUCCGCAGCCAGCCUGGGAACUGCCUCUGUCCCUCCUCCUGGCUUUGGGCUCACUAGCCUAGGACCACAGAAAGACCCAGAUUAGAGUAGGGACAGAGCCAGGUCAGGAAGUAGGCUUACCCCCUUAGGCUUGGCUUGGCUCUUUACUUCCUGGUGACCUUGGCCAAGACCUUCAAUUACUCCUUUCUGGUCUUAGUUUUUCUAUGUGUGAGAUGGGUGCAGUAACCAUCUGGCCACUUCACACUAGGGAAGUACUAAGAGGAGGAAACAUCAGUUGGGCACUCCUCUGCUGGAGACCUGACCAGACAGAGCCAUGGGGCUCAAAGAGGGGUGGUGGGCUUCCUGUAGAUAGGGCCUGGACCUUGCCGGAUAGGAGGCCAUGGUCAGAGACACAGUUUCUGAAGUCAGAUCAGAGUUUUCUGCCAUUGCUAGCUUUGUAAACCUGGGGGGAGGGGUGUUAUUUAGCCCUUCUAAGUCUCAGGAUUAAAUGAGAAGAGGUAUAUGAACUGUCUAACACAGAACUUGACACAGACAGCACUUCACUUGUGUUACAAUAGAGUUGUUAGAAGAUAAAGAAGGCUGUUCCCAAGCAAGAUAUGCCAUAUGACUGCUUUUGCUGUGCUGAGACUAGAGGAUGAGGGUGGAGUUUUCUGGAGGGAUGGCAGGAACCAGAUCAGCCAGGUCCUUAAGUGCCAGGUUAAGGAGCUUGGACAUUAUCCUGAAGGACUUAGGGAGCUAUGGAAGGAUUUUGAGCUUCAUAGCACAUGGUCAGAUUUGAGUUUUAGGAAACUCAUGUGAUUGCAGCAUCAAGGCUGGACAGAGGGUCAGG